RNAcentral lists this unclassified non-coding RNA (370 nucleotides) under soil metagenome. Its description in RNAcentral is "partial contains 5.8S ribosomal RNA, internal transcribed spacer 2, and large subunit ribosomal RNA". The stretch from base 1 to 120 matches the Rfam family "5.8S ribosomal RNA", at positions 35 to 154 of the family's 154-position model. The record is from RNAcentral.
GAUGAAGAACGCAGCGAAAUGCGAUAAGUAAUGUGAAUUGCAGAAUUCAGCGAACCAUCGAAUCUUUGAACGCACAUUGCGCCCGCCAGUAUUCUGGCGGGCAUGCCUGUCCGAGCGUCAUUUCCCCCCUCACGCGCCCCGUUGCGCGCUGGUGUUGGGGCUCCUCCGCCUGGCGGAGGGCCCCGAAAGCGAGUGGCGGGCCCGGCUGGUUGGCUCCGAGCGCAGUACCGAACGCAAGUUCUCCCCUCGCUCAGACGCCCCGCCGGCGCCCUGCCGUCAAAACGCGCAUGACGUGCAACUCUUUUUACAAGGUUGACCUCGGAUCAGGUAGGACUACCCGCUGAACUUAAGCAUAUCAAUAAGCGGAGGA